Bison bison bison is the source of this 90-nucleotide small nucleolar RNA. The record is from Ensembl. NCBI's taxonomy places the organism in Eukaryota, Metazoa, Chordata, Mammalia, Artiodactyla, Bovidae.
AGGUUUCCACUAUGGAUGCUAGGAAAAAGUGUCCUCAUAUUUUCUGUCUGCCUGAUUGUGGCAGUCAAGACUGAAUAGAGUAAUCGAAGA